This 143-nucleotide small RNA is filed under the name Chromatiales bacterium. Its description in RNAcentral is "RtT sRNA". It matches the Rfam family "RtT RNA". Rfam says of the family: This family represents a bacterial cis-regulatory element known as RtT RNA. The exact function of RtT is unknown although it is thought that it may be involved in changing the cellular response in relation to amino acid starvation. The record is from RNAcentral. Lineage: Bacteria; Pseudomonadati; Pseudomonadota; Gammaproteobacteria; Chromatiales.
CUUAAUCAGGAGCAGGGUGCUUUGGUGAGAACCCAUUGUUCAAGCCGAGGCCUCCGCAGGAGGCCGAGACAACGUCGCCGCGACAGCGGCGGCGGCCCGAAGGGCGAGGGGCAUAGCCCCGAGUAAUCCCACCCUCUCCGCCA